AAUAGAUACCCAGGUAGUCCACCCCGUAAACGUUGGGAACUAGUUGUGGGGUCCUUUCCACGGAUUCCGUGACGCAGCUAACGCAUUAAGUUCCCCGCCUGGGGAGUACGGCCGCAAGGCUAAAACUCAAAGGAAUUGACGGGGACCCGCACAAGCGGCGGAGCAUGCGGAUUAAUUCGAUGCAACGCGAAGAACCUUACCAAGGCUUGACAUACACCAGAACACCCUAGAAAUAGGGGACUCUUUGGACACUGGUGAGCAGGUGGUGCAUGGUUGUCGUCAGCUCGUGUCGUGAGAUGUUGGGUUAAGUCCCGCAACGAGCGCAACCCUCGUUCUAUGUUGCCAGCACGUAAUGGUGGGAACUCAUGGGAUACUGCCGGGGUCAACUCGGAGGAAGGUGGGGAUGACGUCAAAUCAUCAUGCCCCUUAUGUCUUGGGCUUCACGCAUGCUACAAUGGCCGGUACAAAGGGCUGCAAUACCGUGAGGUGGAGCGAAUCCCAAAAAGCCGGUCCCAGUUCGGAUUGAGGUCUGCAACUCGA
RNAcentral lists this ribosomal RNA (540 nucleotides) under uncultured bacterium. RNAcentral's name for it is "bacterial SSU rRNA". It matches the Rfam family "Bacterial small subunit ribosomal RNA", at positions 777 to 1315 of the family's 1533-position model. The record is from RNAcentral.